RNAcentral lists this unclassified non-coding RNA (202 nucleotides) under uncultured Rhizoctonia. Its description in RNAcentral is "sequence contains ITS2". The record is from RNAcentral. Lineage: Eukaryota; Fungi; Basidiomycota.
AAUUCUCAAUCUCUUCUGGAUUUUUUAUUCAGAGGAGCAUUGGAUGUGAGGGCUUGCCGGCUUAUUUUACCGGCUCCCUUUAAAUGCAUUAGCGUUGCCUCAGCCGAUCGAACGCCCCUCGGUAUGAUAAUUAUCUAUGCCGUGUCGGGGAUCGCAUGAGUUUGUGCGCUUCUAAUGGUCUCCCUUGCGAGACACUAUCAUA